UACGAAGGGUCCAAGCGUUGUUCGGAAUUACUGGGCGUAAAGCGCACGUAGGCGGAUUCAUAAGUCAGAUGUGAAAUCCCCGGGCUCAACCUGGGAAUUGCAUUUGAAACUGUGAACCUUGAAUGCUUGAGAGGGUGACGGAAUUCCUGGUGUAGAAGUGAAAUUCGUAGAUAUCAGGAGGAACACCGGAGGCGAAGGCGGUUGCCUGGCGAUGCAUUGACGCUGAGGUGCGAAAGCGUGGGUAGCAAACAGG
Molecule: ribosomal RNA, 253 nt
Filed under: uncultured bacterium
Lineage: Bacteria
Description: partial 16S ribosomal RNA
Rfam family: Bacterial small subunit ribosomal RNA
Source: RNAcentral